RNAcentral lists this ribosomal RNA (253 nucleotides) under uncultured bacterium. RNAcentral describes it as "partial 16S ribosomal RNA". It matches the Rfam family "Bacterial small subunit ribosomal RNA", at positions 524 to 776 of the family's 1533-position model. The record is from RNAcentral.
CACGUAGGGCGCAAGCGUUGUCCGGAAUUAUUGGGCGUAAAGAGCUCGUAGGCGGUCUGUCACGUCGGGUGUGAAAGCCCGGGGCUUAACCCCGGGUCUGCAUUCGAUACGGGCUAGCUAGAGUGUGGUAGGGGAGAUCGGAAUUCCUGGUGUAGCGGUGAAAUGCGCAGAUAUCAGGAGGAACACCGGUGGCGAAGGCGGAUCUCUGGGACGGUACUGACGCUGAGACGCGAAAGCGUGGGGAGCGAACAGG